GGAGAGGUGGCCGAGUGGUCGAAGGCGCGCCCCUGCUAAGGGCGUAUAUGGCUUAACACCGUAUCGAGGGUUCGAAUCCCUCCCUCUCCGCCA
This 93-nucleotide transfer RNA is filed under the name Burkholderiales bacterium. RNAcentral describes it as "tRNA-Ser". It matches the Rfam family "tRNA". From Rfam's summary of the family: Transfer RNA (tRNA) molecules are approximately 80 nucleotides in length. Their secondary structure includes four short double-helical elements and three loops (D, anti-codon, and T loops). The record is from RNAcentral. Lineage: Bacteria; Pseudomonadati; Pseudomonadota; Betaproteobacteria; Burkholderiales. RNAcentral also lists the same sequence under 2 other names.